This 392-nucleotide ribosomal RNA is filed under the name uncultured bacterium. Its description in RNAcentral is "bacterial SSU rRNA". It matches the Rfam family "Bacterial small subunit ribosomal RNA", at positions 28 to 423 of the family's 1533-position model. The record is from RNAcentral.
GACGGACGCUGGCGGCGUGCUUAACACAUGCAAGUCGAGCGGUAAGGCCCUUUCGGGGGUACACGAGCGGCGAACGGGUGAGUAACACGUGGGUGACCUGCCCUUAGCUCUGGGAUAAGCCUGGGAAACUGGGUCUAAUACCGGAUAUGACUCCAUGACGCAUGUUGUGGGGUGGAAAGCCUUGUGCGGCUAGGGAUGGGCCCGCGGCCUAUCAGCUUGUUGGUGGGGUGAUGGCCUACCAAGGCGACGACGGGUAGCCGGCCUGAGAGGGCGACCGGCCACACUGGGACUGAGACACGGCCCAGACUCCUACGGGAGGCAGCAGUGGGGAAUCUUGCGCAAUGGGCGAAAGCCUGACGCAGCGACGCCGCGUGAGGGAUGACGGCCUCGGU